CAGCAGUGGGGAAUCUUCCGCAAUGGGCGAAAGCCUGACGGAGCAAUGCCGCGUGAGUGAAGAAGGGAUUCGUUCCGUAAAGCUCUUUUGUUUAUGACGAAUGUGCAUGUUGUGAACAAUGACGUGUAAUGACGGUAGUAAACGAAUAAGCCACGGCUAACUACGUGCCAGCAGCCGCGGUAAUACGUAGGUGGCGAGCGUUGUCCGGAAUUAUUGGGCGUAAAGAGCAUGUAGGCGGUUUUUUAAGUCCGGAGUGAAAAUGCGGGGCUCAACCCCGUAUGGCUCUGGAUACUGGAAGACUUGAGUGCAGGAGAGGAAAGGGGAAUUCCCAGUGUAGCGGUGAAAUGCGUAGAUAUUGGGAGGAACACCAGUGGCGAAGGCGCCUUUCUGGACUGUGUCUGACGCUGAGAUGCGAAAGCCAGGGUAGCGAACGGGAUUAGA
RNAcentral lists this ribosomal RNA (441 nucleotides) under uncultured Phascolarctobacterium sp. RNAcentral describes it as "bacterial SSU rRNA". It matches the Rfam family "Bacterial small subunit ribosomal RNA", at positions 349 to 782 of the family's 1533-position model. The record is from RNAcentral. Lineage: Bacteria; Bacillati; Bacillota; Negativicutes; Acidaminococcales; Acidaminococcaceae.